Molecule: long non-coding RNA, 513 nt
Organism: Nannospalax galili (Upper Galilee mountains blind mole rat)
Lineage: Eukaryota; Metazoa; Chordata; Mammalia; Rodentia; Spalacidae
Exons: 3
Source: RefSeq, a predicted model, not a curated record
CUGUUUGGCAUUGCCAACCCAGAAGGUCACAGAGUGGAAAUGGAGGAAUCGGCCUCUCUCGGGCUGCAGAAGGGACGAGCAAUGAGGUCGUCUAGAAAGGAAAGGAGAGGCUGUGAACAAGGCGUUUCUGGAAGUGUCGCCACGAGUCGAGAUUCAUGAGGAGAUCACAGUGGCCCAGGCAGAUCUUACUUACCAUGAGCAACAAAGAGAAGCAAUUAAAGUCCACCUAAUGUGCUGAAUGGAAACAGGAGCUGGAGCAAGGCAACAGCCACCCGAAGUUCUCAUUCCUUCCAAUGAGAUGCCCGUGAGUAGGCAAGUCUAGAAAGCAAAACUGUGUUCCCAAGUGGGUGUGACCUCUAGGCAGGGUCACAGUGAAGAGGGUAGGGGCUGAGAAUGUUCUUGAUCUGGGAGUCAUUAAAUGAGUGUGGUCAUUUUGUGAAAAUUCAGUGGUAGUUUCUAUGGAAGAUUCGUGUCCUUCCAGAAUGCAUAUUAUAUUUUAACCAAAACAAAUUU